This 397-nucleotide ribosomal RNA is filed under the name uncultured bacterium. RNAcentral describes it as "partial 16S ribosomal RNA". It matches the Rfam family "Bacterial small subunit ribosomal RNA", at positions 523 to 918 of the family's 1533-position model. The record is from RNAcentral.
AUACGUAGGGGGCGAGCGUUGUCCGGAAUGAUUGGGCGUAAAGGGCGCGUAGGCGGCCCGGUAAGUCUGGAGUGAAAGUCCUGCUUUUAAGGUGGGAAUUGCUUUGGAUACUGUCGGGCUUGAGUGCAGGAGAGGUAAGUGGAAUUCCCAGUGUAGCGGUGAAAUGCGUAGAGAUUGGGAGGAACACCAGUGGCGAAGGCGACUUACUGGACCGUAACUUACGCUGAGGCGCGAAAGUGUGGGGAGCAAACAGGAUUAGAUACCCUGGUAGUCCACACUGUAAACGAUGAAUGCUAGGUGUAGGGGGUAUCGACCCCUUCUGUGCCGCAGUUAACACGAUAAGCAUUCCGCCUGGGGAGUACGGCCGCAAGGUUGAAACUCAAAGGAAUUGACGAGC